RNAcentral lists this unclassified non-coding RNA (1534 nucleotides) under uncultured fungus. Its description in RNAcentral is "sequence contains 18S rRNA gene, ITS1, 5.8S rRNA gene, ITS2, 28S rRNA gene". The record is from RNAcentral. Lineage: Eukaryota; Fungi.
UGCAGAGAGCCGCGGCCCUGUUGCCCGUCGAUGAUUUACGACGAGCUAGUUUGCUGCCCGACUUGGGUGAAGGGUUGAUGGAGCUUGGCAACUUGGCGGAAGCGAAAUCCGCGCUGGCGGAAGCCGAGCAAGUCGCCGGUAAGCACGGCGAUGCAAGACUGAAGGCAUCCGCCGCGCUGGUUGGCAUGUUCGUGCGACUUUACGGCGGAGAAGCAGGUGAUUGGGGCGAGCAGGCGUUGAGACUCGCAAAUGAGGUGGUUCCUGUGCUUGAGCGGGCUGACGCGCACGACGAGCUAUCAAUGGCGUGGCGGCUCGUCGGCUUUGUGCAUGGCGUCGCGGGACGCUACGGUCAAGCCGAUAAAGCCAACCUAAAGUAUCUUUCUCACGCUCGCAUAGCCGGCAAUGAGCGGCUCGUGGCACGAAGCGCGAGAGGCGUUGCAAUCGGAGCAUUGCUCGGACCGACACCCGUACCGCAGGCCAUCGAAAUCUGCGCUGGCAUCCUUGAAAGUGGCAACAGCGAUCGGCAAGUGGAGAGCGUCGUCUUGUGCGUGCUUGCUCAGUUGCGUGCCAUGAGUGGUGACUUUGAUACCGCCCGCGCGCUCUACCGACAAGGGCGCUCGGUACUGCGCGAGCUGGGCGCCAGUGUCAGCGCUGCCGCGACUGGGAUUGACCUCGCCCGGGUCGAACUCCUCGCCGGCGACCUGUCCAUCGCGGAAAGAGAAAUGCGCGCGGACUACGAGUUUCUGACGCAAAUUGGCGAAAAUUAUCUACGCUCGACUCUUGCGGCAGUGUUCUCGCAGGUUCUGCGGGACAUCGGACGCGAAGACGAAGCACUCGCCAUGUCGAAGGUCGCAGAAGAAGCCGCAGCCGAAGACGACGUUGAGACGCAGACCCUUUGGCGGGCGGCCCGAGCCCCGCUCAUCGCUCGGGCAGGCGACAUUGAAUCAGCGCUGGAACUGGCACGAGCAGCACUUGAGUUCGCCAGCAAGACAGACGGCCCCAUUCUUCGUGCCGAGGCUCUCCGCGAGCUGGCGUCCGUCCAAAAAGAGGCGGCACGCCUCGACGAAGCGCGCGCCGCUAUUACCGAGGCAGUCAGCCUGUUCGUUGCCAAAGGCGACAUCGUGUCCGCCGAGCGCGCAAAAAAAUGGGCCCGGGAACAGAUCCCGGGCCCGUCCGUAUAGUCCGAAGCGGGCCCAUUCGUAGGCUGAUCAGUUUUGGUAGCGACCGUUGUCCAUCGCGCGGAUUACGUACUCCCAGUCCUCCCGCAGGUCCACGAUUGGAUAGUUACUCGGAAACGCCGUGCGCGAAAAGACGCAGGGUUGAUGGCUCAGUGGCAAGGCCGGAUUCGUGCUGCAGUUGGGCACAGGAACGAAAUUCACGUUGUCAAACGCGUAGUAAACGAUCGAAGUCUCGAUCGCCGACUGGUCCCCGCCGUGCUUGCCCUCGUGCCUAUCGUCGCAAUGACCCUUCCCCUUCUCUUUGUCGCAAGACAGGAUCGUCGUCUUGUCUCUGCGCAGGAUGAUGGUCAGGUAAG